Molecule: long non-coding RNA, 464 nt
Filed under: Sorghum bicolor (sorghum)
Lineage: Eukaryota; Viridiplantae; Streptophyta; Magnoliopsida; Poales; Poaceae
Description: long non-coding RNA (SBIC_LNC013505)
Source: RNAcentral
CUAUUUAUAAAACUAAAAACAUAUCUAGAGGAUAAUUUGCGAGACAAAUCUUUUGAGUCUCAUUAGUCCAUGAUUGAUACUAAUUGUCAAAUAAAACAAAAAUGUUACCGUUCCUAUACCCCUAGACACAAUGAAAGACAGCCGGAGGUAGCGCGCGGCAAAUGUACUGUAGACUCUGUAGUGGAUAUCGUUUGAUGCAGAGGAUUGUUGCAGCUUCCCAUCUCAGUACAGAGAACACAGAAUAGAGUAUUCAGGUAUUCAGCAGAGGCCAUUUAGCUAGCUAGUACGACCAAUCAGUGUAGGUACGGUGCAGCUAAACUAAAAGGUCAGCCAGUAUCAUAUCUUAUCUUAUCAUCACCGUGUUCUAAAGCAUGCAUGCAUUUGCAUUGACACGCCCAAGAUGAAUGGAUCUGCUUGCCGAACUGGCUGUAUUGUCCCGUGAUUUCGUCCCUGAAAAAAAAAAA